This 508-nucleotide long non-coding RNA is filed under the name Olea europaea subsp. europaea. The record is from RNAcentral. Lineage: Eukaryota; Viridiplantae; Streptophyta; Magnoliopsida; Lamiales; Oleaceae.
AAAUGUUAGAUUUAGUAUUGGUGUGUGACGAAUAACUUAAAUUUUUAGGAAAUGGCCCCACCUACCCAUGCAAAUUUGAUGCGUGACUUGUUGCAAGCGGUGCAAGAGUUGACCAGACAGAAUCAAGCUCCUUCACCGCAAAAUGCACCGCCACAGCAAGAUACACCUCCAUUCGUUCCUGGAGCGAUCUCUAUAGUUGAGCAGUUUCGUAGGUACAAGCCUCCUACAUUCGACGGUAAUUCCGACCCACUGGCUGUUGAAGAGUGGAUUAGAGGCCUCGAGCGUAUUUUUCGACACAUUUCUUGUACAAACGCACAGAAGGUACUAUGCGCAGAAUUCAUGUUGGUUGGAGCAGCCGGUCACUGGUGGGAAUCAGUCUCACGCACUAGGACCGAAGAACAGCAGCGUAACUUAACUUGGGAACAAUUUAAGGAUGAAGUGAUGGCAAAGUACUUCCCACAAGCUCUGAGAGAUUUCAAGGAAUCUGAGUUUCUACAGCUCAGACAGG